Molecule: transfer RNA, 71 nt
Filed under: Branchiostoma japonicum (Japanese lancelet)
Lineage: Eukaryota; Metazoa; Chordata; Leptocardii; Amphioxiformes; Branchiostomatidae
Description: tRNA-Ser
Source: RNAcentral
UAGAAAUAAAAGGUAAUUUAUUCCUUUGUCUAUUGGUUUCAAGCCAAUCGCAUAUACUCUGCCAUAUUUCC